Molecule: long non-coding RNA, 1037 nt
Filed under: Camelus dromedarius (Arabian camel)
Lineage: Eukaryota; Metazoa; Chordata; Mammalia; Artiodactyla; Camelidae
Description: lncRNA (ENSCDRG00005018132.1)
Source: RNAcentral
AUGGGGCAAAGUAUAUUGCUAUUUAUAAAAGAAAGAACCCGAGCAACUCAUUUACUCAAGUUUAUUAGAGGUAAAAUUUUUGAGGGGAGAGAUUUCAUGAAUGGUCAUGACCUAAUUCCAUCCUGUGAAUUACCAAUGGGGGAGCGGGGAUGCACUAAGAUAUUUGAAUUAAGUCAACCACCACAGCAAGAAAUGUCAUUCAGUGUAACUUUAUUUACUAUUUAUUGCACAUAAUUCGAGGUCUUUAAUUUCUAACCACCAAAGGUUCAAAGGACUAUUUUUUCCACAAAGUUUAACAUUAACAUUAGUGAAUUCAUUUACUUGUGGGUUUUUUACUGUAUUGUAAACAUCUGAAUUAUUCACAUUGCCAUAGAUCCUGAACUCAUAAGCGUGGACCAUGCACAGGCUGACAGCAAGCCAGAAAGCCACUCGGCAAGCAAACAGAUACUCUGCGGAAGGAAAAGUCAUAGCACGUUUAAUGUCCAACCUAAGUCAUCUCAGAAUUAGACGUAUAUUGACUUCUUAAUUCAUAUAGUAUCUGGAACUCAACUGGUUGGUUCGUGAUGGGGUUGACCUGAUUUUGGGAGAAUGAUUCCUGGAAUAACUAAGGGAAGGAGUGGGGCUCAAUCUUUCUUCUUGGUUGCUUGUUCCUCGCCAGCACCUUCAUCUUUCUUCUCCUCCUCCUCAGCUUCUUUGGUUUCUUCUCCCUCCUUGCCUUCACCUCCCUCUUCUUCCUCCUUUGCCUCCUCAGAUUCUUCCUUGGCAGCUUUAAGAUAAAAAGAAAAGGUACAAACUCCAAAUCCAGGGGUCAGUCCAGUCAAAACAUUUCUGCUAAGGUUUCACGGAGGAACACAGAUGUCAGAACACCUGCCCCCAACCUCUCAGCAUCUCUCUCUCAAAACACAGGCAAUAGACAAUGCUUGCCAGGAAUAACUGUCCACUGAAUACAUAUUUAAGUAGAAUGAGGUUUCAUCUAGGUCCUGAGAGCUCUGCUCUCUGCCAGAACUUCGGUUUUUCUUUAGUUAUGUGUUCAGUUU